This 465-nucleotide ribosomal RNA is filed under the name uncultured bacterium. RNAcentral describes it as "partial 16S ribosomal RNA". It matches the Rfam family "Bacterial small subunit ribosomal RNA", at positions 339 to 795 of the family's 1533-position model. The record is from RNAcentral.
CUACGGGUUGCUCCAGUGAGGAAUUUUGCGCAAUGGGGGCAACCCUGACGCAGCAACGCCGCGUGAGUGAAGAAGGCCUUUGGGUCGUAAAGCUCUGUCAAUUGGGAAGAAGUUAGAUAUGUUUAAUAGAUGUAUCUAUUGACGGUACCAAUGGAGGAAGCGCCGGCUAACUCCGUGCCAGCAGCCGCGGUAACACGGGGGGCGCAAGCGUUAUUCGGAAUUAUUGGGCGUAAAGGGCGCGCAGGCGGUCUUAUCGGUCAGAUGUGAAAGCCCGGGGCUCAACCCCGGACGUGCAUUUGAAACAGUAAGACUUGAGUACGGGAGAGGAAAGCGGAAUUCCUGGUGUAGAGGUGAAAUUCGUAGAUAUCAGGAGGAACACCGAUGGCGAAGGCAGCUUUCUGGACCGAUACUGACGCUGAGGCGCGAAGGCGUGGGUAGCGAACGGGAUUAGAUACCCUUGUAGUC